GUCCCUUCGGGGACAUCCGAAAAAAUUGGAACGAUACAGAGAAGAUCAGCAAGGAUGACACGCAUAAAUCGAAAAAUGGUCCAAAAUUUU
RNAcentral lists this small nuclear RNA (90 nucleotides) under Trifolium pratense (red clover). Lineage: Eukaryota; Viridiplantae; Streptophyta; Magnoliopsida; Fabales; Fabaceae. The record is from RNAcentral.